RNAcentral lists this ribosomal RNA (792 nucleotides) under Fuscoporia scruposa. RNAcentral describes it as "Fuscoporia sp. CL-2018d partial large subunit ribosomal RNA". It matches the Rfam family "Eukaryotic large subunit ribosomal RNA", at positions 92 to 866 of the family's 3401-position model. Lineage: Eukaryota; Fungi; Basidiomycota; Agaricomycetes; Hymenochaetales; Hymenochaetaceae. The record is from RNAcentral.
AGUGAAGCGGGAAAAGCUCAAAUUUAAAAUCUGGUGGUUUUGCCAUCCGAGUUGUAAUCUGGAGAAGCGUUUUCUGUGCUGGACCGUGUACAAGUCUCUUGGAACAGAGCGUCAUAGAGGGUGAGAAUCCCGUCCAUGACACGGACACCCAGUGCUAUGUGAUACGUUUUCAAAGAGUCGAGUUGUUUGGGAAUGCAGCUCAAAAUGGGUGGUAAGCUCCAUCUAAAGCUAAAUAUUGGCGAGAGACCGAUAGCGAACAAGUACCGUGAGGGAAAGAUGAAAAGCACUUUGGAAAGAGAGUUAAACAGUACGUGAAAUUGUUGAAAGGGAAACGCUUGAAGUUAGUCGCGUCUUACUUGACUCAGCCUUGCUUCGGCUUGGUGUAUUUCAUGUGAGACGGGUCAACAUCGAUUUUGACCGGCAGACAAGGGGAGUAAGAAUGUGGCACUNUUCGGAGUGUGUUAUAGCUUAUUCUCAUAUGUGUCGGUUGGGAUCGAGGACCGCAGCGCGCCCUUGUGGCCGGAGGUUCGCCUCACGUUACGCGCUUAGGAUGUUGGCAUAAUGGCUUUAAGCGACCCGUCUUGAAACACGGACCAAGGAGUCUAACAUGCUCGCGAGUGUUAGGGUGGAAAACCCUUGCGCAGAAUGAAAGUAAAAGUUGGGAACCUCCGCAAGGGGGCGCACCGACGCCCGGCCCAGAAGUUUACGGACGGUGCUGCGGUAGAGCGCGUAUGUUGGGACCCGAAAGAUGGUGAACUAUGCCUGAAUAGGGCGAAGCCAGGGGAAACCCUG